Long non-coding RNA from Piliocolobus tephrosceles (Ugandan red Colobus), 1571 nucleotides. NCBI's taxonomy places the organism in Eukaryota, Metazoa, Chordata, Mammalia, Primates, Cercopithecidae. The record is from Ensembl.
UAUUGAUUUAAUUAAAAAUAAUAAAAACGAACCUUAUAUACAUAACAUACCGACAUCCAUUAAUAACUUUAACUGUUUAGAAGCCUUAUCUGUUGAUAGUUCCAAAGAAAAAAAUAUUAACAACAAUAACAAUAAUAGUAGUAAUAAUAAUAAUAAUAAUAUGUUUAAACAUGAGGAUACCAUUCCUGAUUUAAUACAGGAUACGGUUCCUGGUGUUCCUACAUCUGCUAACAAACAAGAUAACAGUUUAGAUUAUGUUAAAAAAAAAUGAAGAAAUUUUGGCUGACCUUUUUGGUAACAUCUCUAUUGAUGAGCCAAAAACGAGGCCCACACAAAAUGAGUCAACUGGUAACAUAAAAUUUUAUACCACCAUUCUCUGUUACAUUAUACAUAUAUAUAUAUAUAUAUAUAUAUAUAUAUAUAUAUAUGUACAUAUGUAUACGUAUAUAUAUUUUUUUUCUUUUUUUCUCAUUUCUUAUGCAGAAUACAAUUCGUUAAAUAUACUUAUGAAUGACACUCCAAAAGGGAACAAAGACGAUUUCUUUGACCUAAACCUAAUCGAAGAAAAAAAAGAUGAAAAGACUAUUAAUAUAACCCCUUUAAAAAUAUAUGACAAAAAUAACAUUGAAAUUAUGUUCCAAUUUGAUAAGGAAAGUUUAGAUUCGGAGAGUACUAAUAUAAAAGCUACUUAUUCGAACAAAUCGGACAAGCUUAUACCUUACUUUGUUUUUGAAGUAAUCAACACUUCUUCCGGUUUUGUUUGCAUUUUUUGCGUUUUUUAUUUUUACAAUGAUUGCUCAUUUAUAAUCUCCCAUUUUAUUCUACAUACGACACAUGUUUUUUCAAUUUCUAAUAUAUAUUUGUGGAUUUUUUUUUUUUUUUUUUUAACAGGCUGUUGUUCCUAAUUAUGUCAAACUGAACAUAUUUAAAGCUUCGUCAACUGAAUUGUUACCCUUCGAAGAAAACAAAAUAACACAAAAUAUGCUAAUUGUUAACAAACUUUUUAAAAAAAAACCAGUCCUUAUGAAAGUUAGGAUAUCAUAUACAAAAGACAACGAAAAAAUACAAGAUUUUAUUAAUAUAGGGAAUUUUCCUGAUGUUUUAUAAUAUAUAUACACAUGUGUAAAUAUACAUAUGUGUAAAUAUACACAUGUGUAAAUAUACAUAUGUGUAAAUAUACAUAUGUGUAAAUAUACAUAUAUAUAUAUAUAUAACGAAGAAAAAAAAAAAAAAACUUUGUCCCUAUUCCCUUUCACAUUUUAUUUUUUAUAAAAAAUUAGAAAAAACAUUAACACAUAUGGACAUAUAACAUAUGGGUAUGUAUGUCACAUAUGAAUGUUGUUCCACAUACAUUCAUUCGUUCACUCAUCUAAUCAUACAAUUACCCAAUCGUUCAUUUUUUUUUUUUUUUUUUUUUUUUUUUUGGUAUUUUAUUACGCUUGUAUUUGUUACUUUAUUCGAUUAUUAUAUUAUGUUUGAUAAUUAUAUUCUGUUCGAUAAUUAUAUUUUGUUCGAUAAUUAUAUUAUGUUCGAUAAUUAUAUUCUGUUCGAUUAUUUUAUUAUGUUCGAUU